CCCACUGCUAUCGGGAUGGGACUAAGACAUGCUAGUCGUGUGUCUCCAAGCCAUGGUGGAGACGCGGCACACAGCUCAGUAACACGUGGCUAACCUGCCCUUGGGACAGGGACAACCCCGGGAAACUGGGGCUAAUCCCUGAUAGGUGAGGAUUCCUGGAAUGGGCCCUUGCUGAAAGGGCGUCUAGACCAUGCUUCUAGGUGCUGCCCAAGGAUGGAGCCGCGGCCGAUCAGGUUGUUGGUGAGGUAACGGCUCACCAAGCCUUUAACCGGUACGGGCCGUGAGAGCGGGAGCCCGGAGAUGGGUACUGAGACAAGGACCCAGGCCCUACGGGGCGCAGCAGUCGCGAAAACUCCGCAAUACGCGAAAGCGUGACGGGGCUAUCCCGAGUGCCGUCCGCUGAGGAUGGCUUUUCCCCAGUGUAUAAAGCUGGGGGAAUAAGGAGAGGGCAAGCCUGGUGUCAGCCGCCGCGGUAAUACCAGCUCUCCGAGUGGUGGGGAUGCUUAUUGGGCCUAAAGCAUUCGUAGCCGGUUGGGCAAGUCCUCCGUUAAAUCCAGCGAUUCAAUCGUUGGACUGCAGGGGAUACUGUCCGGCUAGGGGGCGGAAGAGGCCGACGGUAUUCUCGGAGUAGGGGUGAAAUCCUAUAAUCCCGGGAGGACCACCAGUGGCGAAGGCUGUCGGCUAGAACGCGCCCGACGGUGAGGGAUGAAAGCUGGGGGAGCGAACCGGAUUAGAUACCCGGGUAGUCCCAGCUGUAAACGAUGCAGGCUAGGUGUUGGCGCGGCUACGUGCCGCUCCAGUGCCGCAAGGAAGCCGUUAAGCCUGCCGCCUGGGAAGUACGGCCGCAAGGCUGAAACUUAA
RNAcentral lists this ribosomal RNA (861 nucleotides) under uncultured archaeon. RNAcentral describes it as "bacterial SSU rRNA". It matches the Rfam family "Archaeal small subunit ribosomal RNA", at positions 23 to 859 of the family's 1478-position model. The record is from RNAcentral.